This 270-nucleotide ribosomal RNA is filed under the name Eubacteriales bacterium. RNAcentral's name for it is "partial 16S ribosomal RNA". It matches the Rfam family "Bacterial small subunit ribosomal RNA", at positions 1 to 254 of the family's 1533-position model. Lineage: Bacteria; Bacillati; Bacillota; Clostridia; Eubacteriales. The record is from RNAcentral.
UUUACAGAGAGUUUGAUCCUGGCUCAGGAUGAACGCUGGCGGCGUGCUUAACACAUGCAAGUCGAACGGAGUUAUUUGAAGGAAGUUUUCGGAUGGAAUUUAAAUAACUUAGUGGCGGACGGGUGAGUAACGCGUGGGUAACCUGCCUCACACUGGGGGAUAACAACCAGAAAUGGUUGCUAAUACCGCAUAAGCGCACAGUAUCGCAUGAUACCGUGUGAAAAACUCCGGUGGUGUGAGAUGGACCCGCGUUGGAUUAGCUAGUUGGCA